This 491-nucleotide long non-coding RNA is filed under the name Salvia miltiorrhiza (redroot sage). Its description in RNAcentral is "long non-coding RNA (SMIL_LNC000025)". The record is from RNAcentral. Lineage: Eukaryota; Viridiplantae; Streptophyta; Magnoliopsida; Lamiales; Lamiaceae.
ACAUUACUACCGAGAAUUUCAGAGAACAGAUGAAAGAGUCAUUUAUUUCAGUAGCUUCCUGUGUGAUCUAGCUUUCCAAAUUUUUAUGGUAUUCACCUUAUUGUGUUAGCUAGAUAUCCACCAAAGUUGAGCCCAGUUUGACAACGUUUACUAUUUUUAAAAAAUCCAAGUUUUCGAUUGUUCAAAACUGCCGAACAUGGUAGAUCGUGGUAAAAACGUCAUAUCUCUCAAACCACUUGGAGUUUUCGACUCUACUUUUUUUUAUAUGAAACUAGAUUCGAAGAUCUUUCUUUCAGUAUGAGUCUCGAGUCCAGGAGAUGUCGGAGUCAGAACAGAUUAAAUUUUGAAGUUGAGUCAGUGUAAAAACAGAGCAUGUUUUAAUGAUGUUUUUGGACUUCGGACUUUAAAGCGAACUAUUAUCAUUUAUUUCUUUAAAGCCACUGGUUUAUUUAAUUAAUUGGCUACUCUCUUUUGAGCCUAUUAAUUAUUUG